Molecule: ribosomal RNA, 274 nt
Filed under: uncultured bacterium
Lineage: Bacteria
Description: partial 16S ribosomal RNA
Rfam family: Bacterial small subunit ribosomal RNA
Source: RNAcentral
AUACGAGGGGUGCAAGCGUUAAUCGGAAUUACUGGGCGUAAAGGGCACGCAGGCGGUUCUGUCAGUCAGAUGUGAAAGCCCGGGGCUUAACCCCGGACGUGCAUUUGAAACAGCAGGACUUGAGUAUGGUAGAGGAAAGCGGAAUUCCUGGUGUAGAGGUGAAAUUCGUAGAUAUCAGGAGGAACACCGGUGGCGAAGGCGGCUUUCUGGACCAAAACUGACGCUGAGGUGCGAAGGCGUGGGUAGCGAACAGGAUUAGAUACCCGAGUAGUCC